RNAcentral lists this ribosomal RNA (551 nucleotides) under uncultured Sebacinales. RNAcentral describes it as "eukaryotic LSU rRNA". It matches the Rfam family "Eukaryotic large subunit ribosomal RNA", at positions 81 to 618 of the family's 3401-position model. Lineage: Eukaryota; Fungi; Basidiomycota; Agaricomycetes; Sebacinales. The record is from RNAcentral.
UAGUACGGCGAGGAAGAGGAAAGCUCAAAUUUGAUUCUGGGUCUUUGCGCCCGAGUUGUAUCUAGAGAAGUGUUUCUGCCUCGGACCACACAUAAAUUCCCUGGAAUGGGGUGUCAUAGAGGGUGAGAAUCCCGUUUGUGGUGUGGACUACCUUGGCUCUGUGAUACACUCUCAACGAGUCGAGUUGUUUGGGAAUGCAGCUCAAAAUGGGUGGUAAAUUCCAUCUAAAGCUAAAUAUUGGCGAGAGACCGAUAGCGAACAAGUACCGUGAGGGAAAGAUGAAAAGCACUUUGGAAAGAGAGUGAAACAGUACGUGAAAUUGUUGAAAGGGAAGCGUUUGAAGUCAGUCACAUCGGUCGGAAUUCAGCCUGGCUUUGCCUGGUGUACUUUCUGGCAGAUGGGUCAGCGUCAAUUUCGACUGAGGGAAAAAGACUUGAGGAAUGUGGCUGUCCUCGGGCAGUGUUAUAGCCUCCUGUUGUAUGUCUCAGUUGGGAUUGAGGACCGCAGCACGCCUUAUGGCCGGGGUUUGCGCCCUCGGAACGUGCUUAGGA